RNAcentral lists this ribosomal RNA (642 nucleotides) under Sieruela briquetii. RNAcentral's name for it is "eukaryotic LSU rRNA". The stretch from base 251 to 405 matches the Rfam family "5.8S ribosomal RNA". The record is from RNAcentral. Lineage: Eukaryota; Viridiplantae; Streptophyta; Magnoliopsida; Brassicales; Cleomaceae.
UCGAACCAAUCCAAAGGAAAGACCCGCAAUGAGUGUUACACACGCGGUGCGUGUAGGCCCUACCGGUCUUUACGCCCGCCGAGUCCGUGGGGGUCAUUCUUGCGUAUUAUGGAGCCGCUCGUGACUCUGUCGGAAAUAACCAAACCCCGGCGCGAAAAGCGCCAAGGACCAUCAAACGAAACACAGSUCAAUCCGGACACCCCGUACAAGGUGCGUGUCCCGAUGUGUGCUGCGAUCACUAGUCUAUARCGACUCUCGGCAMGAAUAUCUCGGCUCUCGCAUCGAUGAAGAACGUAGCAAAAUGCGAUACUUGGUGUGAAUUGCAGAAUCCCGUGAACCAUCGAGUUUUUGAACGCAAGUUGCGCCCCAAGCCGUCAGGCCGAGGGCACGCCUGCCUGGGUGUCACGCAUCGUUGUCCCCCCACCCGUCGCAGUUUAGCUCGGGUGAACACGGAGACGGAGGAUGGUCUCCCGUGUGUUUCCGCACGCGGUUGGCCCAAAACAAAGCCACGGACGCGGAGCGUUCGACGAGCGGUGGUGUAACCUCGUGGAUACGUCGGCCGUUCCCAUCCCAAUGCGCUUUCAUGACCCUUUCAGAGUCGCCUAAUCGGGCUCUCCGAACGCGACCCCAGGUCAGGCGGGA